This 2897-nucleotide long non-coding RNA is filed under the name Mus musculus (house mouse). Its description in RNAcentral is "predicted gene 13274". The record is from RNAcentral. Lineage: Eukaryota; Metazoa; Chordata; Mammalia; Rodentia; Muridae.
CCCGUUCAGCGCGCGACUCCGGGCAGGCAGGGAGUGUCUCCUGCCUCUCUCCCGGGCCCCUUCGCGUACAGGACUGUACGCGACCCGUCGCGGCUUGAGAAUUGAACCCAGACGGAAUUGGUGAAGCACCGGGGACUGUGGCGUGCUGACUGUGAUACAUGUUUGGAGGCAAGCAGGUAAAAACACAAAACAAAAGUAAACAGAACAGAAGAUGAGAAGAAUCGUGGAAUCCUGCUUCGGGACUUGGAGGAGAGCCAUGCUCACUCAUCCAGGGCCUCAUCCAGGGGCCGAACAGUCCCUUCCUAAGGCCCUCUCAAUAAACAAAGCCUAGGUCGCCUUCGCCCUCCAGACUGAGAGUCUGGAGUUCCCAGCUUACAAGAAGCUACCCAGAACCCGUGACAGGAAAGAGAAUGGCUCUAACACCCAACAGCCCGAAAGAGCCUUGCUGCAACAAGGCACGUUUUCCAACCCCCGUGGUCCAUGGACAUCUCCCAUCUGUGAUCGAAAAUGCUCAAGAAAACCUGAGAUGGUCAAUUUAUUCAGAAACCACCUCAAAUGCACGAGCACAGGUUUUCUUUCAAACAUCAAACAUCUUUCUCAGUGAACGAUGUACAGUAGGAUGCUUCGGGGCACGAGCAGGGAAGACAUCAAGGACUCGAUGUUCUCUGCCGAUGCACACCCAUUUCUUCUGGGGCUGAAUCCGAAUCUGUGCGUCUGCUUUGAAUGGAGCGAGGGAGCCUGGUGUCACGGGAGCAGAGAGAUUCCUGCACGGGCCAUCUCCUCAUCUUGGGCCUCUUCUCGCAGACAGUGGGAACGCUGGAAGGUCCACUUGCAAUUGGACUCUGACGAUCUCCCAGGAGCAAGCGCUGUGUGCCUUUGCCUUCAGAUAGCGGAAGAACACUCGGAAGUAGGUGCGGAUGGCCAGGGCAAAAGGCAGUGGACAGGACUGGCCCUGCUCUCUUGGCCUCUUCAGCACUUGCAGCUCACGCCACAGGCUAGAUAGUAGCUGGUCCAGCGCCCUCUCGUGCCAGGCAGCUCUGCUGGCCUCUGUGUCAAAGAGGUGGAGGACAUGCCUGAGGGUCUGGGAGUAGCAACUGGUGGUUUCUCCCAGAGUCAUCUGUGUGAUGUUAGUUCCUUCCUUCCAGGGACAUGGGAAAUCGGUCCUGUCCCGCAGGCACUGAUGACCCGGCACGCUUCGGAGCUCUGCUAGGAAGCGCGGGGUUUCGCUAUGCUCCAGGUGUAGGCUCCCAGAUUUACCAGAAUCAAGUGAGCUGGCUGGGCUGCAGCUCAGCAUCACCCCUCCCACCAGGAAUAGAUGCACAGGCAGCAUGCUGAAGCCUGAUCAUAGAGGAGCUUGCCUGCAGAUGGUGCUCUAGAGGGAGGCCACCUUCCCAUUGAGCCUGGUUUUGGUGCAAAGAGUUUACUUAGAGCUCCUGGGCUCUGAGUGACUGACUGUUCUGAGCUGGAGGUUCCUUCUGAGGCCAGGUGCAGCAAUGGAUGUCUCUUUUUGCUUCACUUAGAUGAUAAUCCCCUUCCUCCAGAGACACUGGAAAUUAUUUCUGUCCCCCAGUCACUGGUGUCCAGACACUCUUUUAAGCUCUCCUUACUAAGCCCAAGGUUUCCCUCUAAUGUUGGCUCCGGCUCUGAGAUGUCCUCCUAUCUACUGACCUGUCUGUGCUGCAGCCCAGCAUCACCCUUCCCGUCAGGAAGAGAAUGGCAUUUGUUUAUGUGGUGGAUUAUGUUGAUGGACUACUGUAUAUUGAACCAUCCCUGCAUCUCUGUGAUGAAGACUACUUGAAUGUGGUAGAAAUUAAUCUCUCGGAAGUGCCUCUUCACAGCCAGGUGACAUGUCAGAGCCACUCAGGAAAGGCUUACCCCAACUCCUGAACCAAGCAGCCUCCCAGAACUUAGCUCCUGGGAAGAACUUCUCAAGACCAUUCUCAUUUCAACAAAGCUCUGGUAUAACAGGGCACCUGGGGGGGGGGGGGGGAAGGAACGACGACCACAGGUUGUUCUACUAGUUUGGGGAAAAGAAUGUUGUUCUACUAGUUUCCCGGGAUUGCUGCAAUUGGCCGGAAACCACCGGGAGAAGAAGGAAGGAGAAAUAAAGGAAGAUUAAUCACCUAUAGUUAAGUAAAUUACAUACAUUUUUUUGGGGUCAUCAACAGGUUGUAAGUAAGCUCUCUAUAUACCAAUUUUGGAAAAUCUUGAACUGGAAAAAAAAAAUCCAGUAGGAUACAUGCCAUUUAGAAAAGAGCCAGGAAGUGGAGCAUAAGAAUGUAAGUAUAUUCUUAGUCUGCAUACAAGUAAACGCUAGAAGGAUUUGGAACUUCGAGAACAGAGAACUACGGCAAAUUAUAUACUUAUUCUCAAAUCAAAGUUAAAAUUUGCCAGUAGCUAGAGAACUGCAUGUUAAUAAAAAAUACUUAUAAAAGCAAAGUUCAACACAAGGGAAACGCAAAGGGUAACUAUUUUGGAAACAUUGACUUGAAUAUUCUACCAAAUAUUAUCAUUAUCCAAAUCAGGAUAACGUUUUGUGUUCAAAUCAUCUGCGCUUAUUACAGAGUCCAUAAGAUAAUGGAGGACAUUUGUACACUGAUGAAAACAGUGGACAAAGUAAACUAUAACAUGCUCAACUACUGGAAAACUGUAGCCAGUUAAAAAUAGUGUUUGGAAAACAAAACCCUGAAAACCGUAUUUAUGAAGGCAUUAUCUCUCCUGCCAAAUAUUAAAAAAAUGUAUCAUUAGGACCAAAAUUUAGUGGCAAGUUAAAUCUCAUGUGUCUUAAAUGUUAAACAAACAAACAAAAAACCUUUUACAAUCAACAUUUUUAAUUGAGUGUGACGCAAACUGUAAAACUGUUCUUGAAGAAAAUAAAUAAAUAAAACGAUACAAUG